AUUGAACGCUGGCGGCAUGCCUUACACAUGCAAGUCGAACGGCAGCACGGGGCAACCUGGUGGCGAGUGGCGAACGGGUGAGUAAUGCAUCGGAACGUACCUUUCAGUGGGGGAUAACGUAGCGAAAGUUACGCUAAUACCGCAUAUUCUGUGAGCAGGAAAGCAGGGGAUCGCAAGACCUUGCGCUGAUUGAGCGGCCGAUGUCAGAUUAGCUAGUUGGUGAGGUAAAGGCUCACCAAGGCGACGAUCUGUAGCGGGUCUGAGAGGAUGAUCCGCCACACUGGAACUGGGACACGGUCCAGACGCCUACGGGAGGCAGCAGUGGGGAAUUUUGGACAAUGGGGGCAACCCUGAUCCAGCCAUGCCGCGUGAGUGAAGAAGGCCUUCGGGUUGUAAAGCUCUUUCGGCCGGGAAGAAAUCGCACGGGCUAAUACCCUGCGUGGAUGACGGUACCGGAAUAAGAAGCACCGGCUAACUACGUGCCAGCAGCCGCAGUAA
RNAcentral lists this ribosomal RNA (498 nucleotides) under uncultured bacterium. RNAcentral describes it as "partial 16S ribosomal RNA". It matches the Rfam family "Bacterial small subunit ribosomal RNA", at positions 30 to 523 of the family's 1533-position model. The record is from RNAcentral.